Molecule: long non-coding RNA, 1207 nt
Filed under: Phasianus colchicus (ring-necked pheasant)
Lineage: Eukaryota; Metazoa; Chordata; Aves; Galliformes; Phasianidae
Description: lncRNA (ENSPCLG00000002786.1)
Source: RNAcentral
UAUAUACUUGUUCAUUUUUGCUUCCUGAGACUAUCUGUCUGACAACAGUGAAAUAUGAAAGGAGGGCAUGUUUCCUUCAGGAUUUCGCUAACGACUUUGUAUAUUCAACCCUUUAAGGUAUUUUUUUGCUACUUUCCUAAGCAGAAGAGACACCCUCCUGCCAGCACUAUGACUGUGUGACUGGUGGGAUGUCUUACUGGGUUCUGUUUACAUCAUUAUGUGCAACUUAACCAGCAUCAGAACAGCAGCUGAAGCAGAGCUGUGCCAUCACUCACACUACUCAGCUGUGUGCACUCUGGCAUGUUUAGCUCUGUACAAACAAGCACCAUUCCAGAAGGUGCCCAGAUCCCGCAUGUGUUCCCCUCCCUUCUCACAGUUUAUCUUCAGGACCAGAUGUUAUCUUCUCUAGUUUAGAGGUAACAACUAAAGCUUCCAAAGACAAGCCAUUUACCUAUGCACAGUUCUGCUUUCCAGCUGUAUGCCACCAAAGGCCUCUGCUCACAUCAACUAAAUGAAGCCUUGCCUGAUACUGUGAUCUGGAAAAUAUUUGUAGCCACUUUCCCACUGUUUAAUUUUUAACUGGAACUUUUCUUGAAGGAGGACUAAAUAAAAAUGAGUAAAGACUUUCACAGUCUGAAGUCUGAGCCAAUUUCCACAGGGUCCUUUAAGAGCUUUCCCAAUUAUUUUCCUUCAGCUGGGCUCCUGAGUUUAGCUAUUAAUCUUCCUUCAUAAGUAAAUCACUAUUGUGCACUAACCCUUUUAUGUUACUGUUCCUCUAACUUUUGUGUGCUUUCCUGGUAAAGAAUUUCAUGCAGUAUUCUUCAGGUGGGCUUACAAGCAGAAUGACCAGAUGGAAAUGCUAGGAUUACAACUAAAUACUGCUUAAAUGCAAGUGUUCAUCUCUUGUAGAAACAAAAUUAAUGAACACAAAGAUCAUCUUCUCACUAAUUUUCCUUCUUCUAAUUUCCUCCAACAGCCAUUUCCAAUAGGUAUUCCUAUUGGAAAAGCAUGGUUACCAAGGUGGAUUUGCAGAAAAGGAACGGGGCAGGAGCAGAGGAGAGACACUAAGAGUUCAGCAUUACAGGAAAGAAGUUCACGGUUUUCUCACUCAUCUUGCAACUGCUUUUAUUUUGGGGGCUGUUUCCCAAUUUUUGUUUGCUGUAGUUCUGCAAUGAAGUUUCUAUUUAUUUUGAAGCAUAAAAUGUAA